GAGAUUGAUCCUGGCUCAGGACGAACGCUGGCGGCGUGCCUAACACAUGCAAGUCGAACGGGGAUAUUGAUUUCGGUUGAUAUCCCAGUGGCGAACGGGUGAGUAACGCGUGAGCAACCUGACCUUUUGAGGGGGAUAACACCUGGAAACAAGUGCUAAUACCGCAUAAGACCACGGAGCGGCAUCGUUCAGGGGUCAAAGGAGGAAUCCGCAGAAGGAGGGGCUCGCGUCCCAUUAGAUAGUAGGCGGGGUAACGGCCCACCUAGUCGACGAUGGGUAGCCGAGCUGAGAGGCUGAUCGGCCACACUGGAACUGAGACACGGCCCAGACUCCUACGGGAGGCAGCAGUGGGGGAUAUUGCACAAUGGGGGAAACCCUGAUGCAGCGACGCCGCGUGAGGAAGAAGGUUUUCGGAUUGUAAACUCCUGUCGUUAGGGACGAUAAUGACGGUACCUAACAAGAAAGCACCGGCUAACUACGUGCCAGCCGCCGCGGUAAUAC
RNAcentral lists this ribosomal RNA (501 nucleotides) under uncultured bacterium. Its description in RNAcentral is "bacterial SSU rRNA". It matches the Rfam family "Bacterial small subunit ribosomal RNA", at positions 9 to 526 of the family's 1533-position model. The record is from RNAcentral.